Molecule: non-coding RNA, 65 nt
Organism: Dipodomys ordii (Ord's kangaroo rat)
Lineage: Eukaryota; Metazoa; Chordata; Mammalia; Rodentia; Heteromyidae
Source: Rfam
GGUGGCUCAGUGGUAGAGUGCUUGCCUUGCAUGUGUGAGGCCCUGGGUUCGAUUCCCCAGCACCA